AAAGGGUUUGGUGGCUUAUGUUCCUGAGUAGAGGGUCAACCACCGGUUGGGGUCGGAUACCCACCGGUAUCCGAAGAUAAAAUAUGUGCCGCCAUCUAGCAGUAUUAGUUAUUACUUCUUCAUACCGACUGA
Molecule: long non-coding RNA, 132 nt
Organism: Polistes dominula (European paper wasp)
Lineage: Eukaryota; Metazoa; Arthropoda; Insecta; Hymenoptera; Vespidae
Source: RefSeq, a predicted model, not a curated record